GACGAACGCUGGCGGCGUGCUUAACACAUGCAAGUCGAACGGAAAGGCCCUGCUUUUGUGGGUUGCUCGAGUGGCGAACGGUUGAUUAACACGUGAUUAACCUGCCCUUGACUUUGGGUUAACUUCAGGAAACUGGGGCUAAUACCGGAUAGGAGCUCCUGCUGCAUGGUGGGGGUUGGAAAGUUUCGGCGGUUGGGGAUGGACUCGCGGCUUAUCAGCUUGUUGGUGGGGUAGUGGCUUACCAAGGCUUUGACGGGUAGCCGGCCUGAGAGGGUGACCGGCCACAUUGGGACUGAGAUACGGCCCAGACUCCUACGGGAGGCAGCAGUGGGGAAUAUUGCACAAUGGGCGGAAGCCUGAUGCAGCAACGCCGCGUGCGGGAUGACGGCCUUCGGGUUGUAAACCGCUUUCGCCUGUGACGAAGCGUGAGUGACGGUAAUGGGUAAAGAAGCACCGGCUAACUACGUG
This 468-nucleotide ribosomal RNA is filed under the name uncultured bacterium. Its description in RNAcentral is "partial 16S ribosomal RNA". It matches the Rfam family "Bacterial small subunit ribosomal RNA", at positions 28 to 507 of the family's 1533-position model. The record is from RNAcentral.